GUGUUGUAUGAAAGGAGAGAAGGUUAGCACUCCCUUUGACAAAGAUGGAAGAGGCGCCUAGACGAUGUGGUUUAU
Molecule: non-coding RNA, 75 nt
Filed under: Myotis brandtii (Brandt's bat)
Lineage: Eukaryota; Metazoa; Chordata; Mammalia; Chiroptera; Vespertilionidae
Source: RNAcentral